RNAcentral lists this ribosomal RNA (252 nucleotides) under uncultured Lactococcus sp. RNAcentral's name for it is "partial 16S ribosomal RNA". It matches the Rfam family "Bacterial small subunit ribosomal RNA", at positions 524 to 776 of the family's 1533-position model. The record is from RNAcentral. Lineage: Bacteria; Bacillati; Bacillota; Bacilli; Lactobacillales; Streptococcaceae.
UACGUAGGUCCCGAGCGUUGUCCGGAUUUAUUGGGCGUAAAGCGAGCGCAGGUGGUUUAUUAAGUCUGGUGUAAAAGGCAGUGGCUCAACCAUUGUAUGCAUUGGAAACUGGUAGACUUGAGUGCAGGAGAGGAGAGUGGAAUUCCAUGUGUAGCGGUGAAAUGCGUAGAGAUUAGGAAGAACACCAGUGGCGAAGGCGACUUACUGGACUGUAACUGACGCUGAGGCAUGAGAGCAUGGGGAGCAAACAGG